This 1020-nucleotide long non-coding RNA is filed under the name Zonotrichia albicollis (white-throated sparrow). RNAcentral describes it as "lncRNA (ENSZALG00000007755.1)". The record is from RNAcentral. Lineage: Eukaryota; Metazoa; Chordata; Aves; Passeriformes; Passerellidae.
AGGAAAUGAAUACAAAACCUACUCCCUUCCCUUGGACAUCUAAUUUCAAGCUUUCCAGAGGAUACCAACCAAAACCCUCACUUCAGACAUUUCAAGCUCAUUCCCAGCUGACACAUCUAUCCGUAUUCUUCAGAACAUCAGGACCCCAGGUGAGUUCCAGGAGAGGAAUUUCGCGGCUUUUCCCCGUUUUCCGGCGCCGGCCCCAGCCCUCUAGCGGUGCGGGCGAGCGGAGCCCAGUCCCGGGAGCUGUCCCCAAGCACCGGAGCAGCGCAUGGAGCGCGGCAGGCACACAAGGUGAACAGCUCCGGACUCGACUGCAGGCUUCCUGCGGCUACAGAAAUGAUUUCCAGAGCAGCCUUCUCCUCCAGCGCUUGGGGCGUCCUCAUCUGGCGGCCACAGCUCAUCCUCUGCCCCUCUCUCCCGGCUCAUCCUCCGCCCCUCUCUCCGGGCUCAGCGCUUCCCACCAACUCAAACUUGCGCUGAGCUGCAGGGCUCUUCCCCUCCGAAUGCCGCUCAGCUGCCAAGGGUGGGAGCUGCCGCUCCAGAGCUCCCUGCUCCUCACUGAGCCAUGGCUUUCGCAAGACCUGCAGCCUCUGAGUGACCCACACGGGAUGCUGGAGCCUCCUUGGCAAGCUGGGAAGGAAAAGGGAAAAAGAGGGGAUUCAUAACCUGAAGUGGGCCAUUUGAGUUCUCCCAACCCUCUACGAUUUCUGGAGGAAUUCUGUAAAUUUUGGUAAAUUUGGUAAAAUUUGGUAAAAUUUGGUAAAAUUCCAACUUAUUUCCACUGGAUAUAUUUAUUUUACCCUAAUUAGCAACACUUGUAACCUUCUCCUAUCAUCUUAUUGUAACCAUUUCAAGGCAUGACUUUUUCUCUAAAUAUGUGCACUGAAGGAGUGGUGCAAAAAAAUGUGAGAACAUCUAUUUACAUAAACAUGGAUGGCAACAUUGUUCUGUGAUGAUCUGAAAGCCCUGCUGCAAGUCAGGGAGUCUCGAGCAGAAGGACAGCCAUGUGAUUUCGAG